Non-coding RNA from Poecilia reticulata (guppy), 807 nucleotides. The record is from RefSeq and is a predicted model, not a curated record. NCBI's taxonomy places the organism in Eukaryota, Metazoa, Chordata, Actinopteri, Cyprinodontiformes, Poeciliidae.
CAGAYRUGCUUUCAGUUUCAGUGGAUGGAAACUGCAAGUAUUACCAUUUAAAGAAUGCAGCAAGAUUGGAGGAACACGCUAUAUUUCAGGACCUUUUCAUAGCCAAGGAUGAAAACGUAGGAAAAUUUGUGGACUGUAUACACAAAUCAACCAAAAAUAUUUUGUGGUGGGCAAUGGUCAGCAGCCAGGGAGAUCUCUCACAGAUUCAGCAGCAAACUGGAUGAGGAGGCUUGGAGGUAGCGGCUGGCCAACAGACAAUCACUUUUUUCCAUGGAUGUAAUAUGCAAGUACUGGCCAUAUCUUAAAACUAACAGAAAGCUGUCCUGAGGUCCAACACCUGCUUAAAAUGAAGCCAUUUCUCUCAAUUUUCCAUGGCAAAGCCCAUGAAUGUAAGACACAGAUGGACACAAAUCUUGUGCCAAGGCUCAUCGCAAGAUCAGAAAGGAGAAAACAUCUUAGCAUUGGCUUUAAAAGAUGUUGGUCACUUGAAGACUGAUACAGACACAGAAGUUCUGUCUUUGGAAGAGAUCCUGUCCGGUGACACAACAUUGCCAUGGCAGCAAUCACACAGGGACUCUCAGUCUUCACACAAAAACAAGGGCAAUCGAUGGCAUCAUGAUAGUAAAGAGACUGGAAGAGGAAAAGAGGAUCCUUAUUGAUGGACCAUCAUUGGAAAUCUCUGUCAUCCUAUGAAGACACUCUAAAGGAGUUUCCCACCUGUUAUCAGGAGGUAAAUUUAAAAGUUUGUUCUGUGCCCUAACUGACGAAGGUCCAAGAGGUCUCCAGAGCAUUAUCCUCAGAGAGCUG